CUGGGCUGGAUGAGUGGCGAACGGGUGAGUAACACGUGAGUAACCUGCCCUCUUCUUUGGGAUAACGGUCGGAAACGGCUGCUAAUACCGGGUAUUCACUGUCCUUCGCAUGGGGGGUGGGUGGAAAGGUUUUUUCUGGUGGGGGAUGGGCUCGCGGCCUAUCAGCUUGUUGGUGGGGUGAUGGCUUACCAAGGCUUUGACGGGUAACCGGCCUGAGAGGGUGACCGGUCACAUUGGGACUGAGAUACGGCCCAG
Molecule: ribosomal RNA, 255 nt
Filed under: uncultured bacterium
Lineage: Bacteria
Description: partial 16S ribosomal RNA
Rfam family: Bacterial small subunit ribosomal RNA
Source: RNAcentral